RNAcentral lists this ribosomal RNA (302 nucleotides) under uncultured bacterium. RNAcentral's name for it is "partial 16S ribosomal RNA". It matches the Rfam family "Bacterial small subunit ribosomal RNA", at positions 508 to 807 of the family's 1533-position model. The record is from RNAcentral.
GCAGCCGCCGCGGGAAUACCGAGGGUGCGAGCGUUAAUCGGAUUUACUGGGCGUAAAGCGUGCGUAGGCGGCUUCUUAAGUCGGAUGUGAAAUCCCUGAGCUUAACUUAGGAAUUGCAUUCGAUACUGGGAAGCUAGAGUAUGGGAGAGGAUGGUAGAAUUCCAGGUGUAGCGGUGAAAUGCGUAGAGAUCUGGAGGAAUACCGAUGGCGAAGGCAGCCAUCUGGCCUAAUACUGACGCUGAGGUACGAAAGCAUGGGGAGCAAACAGGAUUAGAUACCCCCGUAGUCCCUGUCUCUUAUAC